Molecule: non-coding RNA, 71 nt
Organism: Stegodyphus dumicola
Lineage: Eukaryota; Metazoa; Arthropoda; Arachnida; Araneae; Eresidae
Source: the annotation of a RefSeq genome assembly
GCCUUCGUGGUGUAACGGUAACACACUCGGUGCAUAUUCGAGAGGUCCGGGUUCGAGUCCCGGCGAGGGCA